This 292-nucleotide ribosomal RNA is filed under the name uncultured bacterium. RNAcentral's name for it is "partial 16S ribosomal RNA". It matches the Rfam family "Bacterial small subunit ribosomal RNA", at positions 505 to 796 of the family's 1533-position model. The record is from RNAcentral.
GUGUCAGCAGCCGCGGUAAUACGGAGGGUGCGAGCGUUGUCCGGAAUCACUGGGCGUAAAGGGCGCGUAGGUGGUUCGAUAAGUGUGUGGUGAAAGCCCGGGGCUCAACCCCGGGUCUGCCGUGCAAACUGUCGGACUGGAGGACUGCAGAGGCAGGUGGAAUUCCGGGUGUAGCGGUGGAAUGCGUAGAUAUCCGGAAGAAGACCGGUGGCGAAGGCGACCUGCUGGGCAGUUACUGACACUGAGGCGCGACAGCGUGGGGAGCAAACAGGAUUAGAUACCCCCGUAGUCC